GACGGAGGGUGCAAGCGUUGUUCGGAUUGACUGGGCGUAAAGGGCGUGUAGGCGGUCGGCCAAGUCUGAUGUGAAAGCCCGAGGCUCAGCCUCGGAAGUGCGUCGGAAACUAGUCGGCUGGAGCGCGAUAGAGGAGGGUGGAAUUCCUGGUGUAGCGGUGAAAUGCGUAGAUAUCAGGAGGAACACCGGCGGCGAAGGCGGCCCUCUGGAUCGUUGCUGACGCUGAGACGCGAAAGCGUGGGGAG
Molecule: ribosomal RNA, 245 nt
Filed under: uncultured Desulfomonile sp.
Lineage: Bacteria; Pseudomonadati; Thermodesulfobacteriota; Desulfomonilia; Desulfomonilales; Desulfomonilaceae
Description: partial 16S ribosomal RNA
Rfam family: Bacterial small subunit ribosomal RNA
Source: RNAcentral